AGAGUUUGAUCCUGGCUCAGGAUGAACGCUCGCGACAGGCUUAACACAUGCAAGUCGAGGGGCAGCGGGGGCGUAGCAAUAUGCCUGCCGGCGACCGGCGCACGGGUGAGUAACACGUAUGUAACCUGCCCUAUGCAGGGGGAUAACCCGGAGAAAUCCGGCCUAAUACCGCGUAACACCUUAGGGGAGCAUUCUCUUGAGGUUAAAGGAGAGAUCCGGCAUAGGAUGGACAUGCGUCGCAUUAGGUAGACGGCGGGGUAACGGCCCACCGUGCCGACGAUGCGUAGGGGUUCUGAGAGGAAGGCCCCCCACACUGGUACUGAGACACGGACCAGACUCCUACGGGAGGCAGCAGUGAGGAAUAUUGGUCAAUGGCCGAGAGGCUGAACCAGCCAAGUCGCGUGAGGGAAGAAUGUCCUAAGGAUUGUAAACCUCUUUUGUCGGGGAGCAAAAAGGCUCUGCGGAGUCGUAUUGAGAGUACCCGAAGAAAAAGCAUCGGCUAACUCCGUGCCAGCAGCCGCGGUAAUACGGAGGAUGCGAGCGUUAUCCGGAUUUAUUGGGUUUAAAGGGUGCGCAGGCGGCGUGUCAAGCGAGCGGUAAAAUAGCGGGGCUCAACCCCGUCGAGCCGUUUGAACUGGCGCGCUUGAGUUCAGGCGAGGUAGGCGGAAUUCGUGGUGUAGCGGUGAAAUGCAUAGAUAUCACGAAGAACUCCGAUUGCGAAGGCAGCUUACCAGUCUGCGACUGACGCUCAGGCACGAAAGUGUGGGUAUCGAACAGGAUUAGAUACCCUGGUAGUCCACACAGUAAACGAUGAGCGCUAGGUGUCCGGGUCGCAUGAGACUUGGGUGCCCGAGCGAAAGCGUUAAGCGCUCCACCUGGGGAGUACGCCGGCAACGGUGAAACUCAAAGGAAUUGACGGGGGCCCGCACAAGCGGAGGAACAUGUGGUUUAAUUCGAUGAUACGCGAGGAACCUUACCCGGGCUCAAACGACUCAGGAAUAUAUUGGAAACGAUGUAGCCAGCAAUGGUCUGAGUCGAGGUGCUGCAUGGUUGUCGUCAGCUCGUGCCGUGAGGUGUCGGCUUAAGUGCCAUAACGAGCGCAACCCCUACCGCCAGUUGCCAACGGGUAAAGCCGGGAACUCUGGCGGGACUGCCGGCGCAAGCUGUGAGGAAGGCGGGGAUGACGUCAAAUCAGCACGGCCCUUACGUCCGGGGCGACACACGUGUUACAAUGGCAGGUACAGCGGGAAGCCACCUGGUGACAGGGAGCGGAACCCGAAAGCCUGUCUCAGUUCGGAUUGGAGUCUGCAACUCGACUCCAUGAAGCUGGAUUCGCUAGUAAUCGCGCAUCAGCCAUGGCGCGGUGAAUACGUUCCCGGGCCUUGCACUCACCGCCCGUCAAG
RNAcentral lists this ribosomal RNA (1403 nucleotides) under uncultured bacterium. RNAcentral describes it as "bacterial SSU rRNA". It matches the Rfam family "Bacterial small subunit ribosomal RNA". The record is from RNAcentral.